This 1266-nucleotide ribosomal RNA is filed under the name metagenome. Its description in RNAcentral is "bacterial LSU rRNA". It matches the Rfam family "Bacterial large subunit ribosomal RNA", at positions 1642 to 2925 of the family's 2925-position model. The record is from RNAcentral.
CCGUACCGUAAACCGACACAGGUGGAUGAGGAGAGAAUCCUAAGGCCGGCGGAAGAAGCAUUGUCAAGGAACUCGGCAAAAUGGCCCCGUAACUUAGGGAUAAGGGGUGCCUCAGAAAUGAGGCCGCAGAGAAUAGGCUCAAGCAACUGUUUAGCAAAAACACAGGUCUAUGCGAAACCGAAAGGUGAGGUAUAUGGGCUGACGCCUGCCCGGUGCUGGAAGGUUAAGAGGAGAGGUUAGCGCAAGCGAAGCUUUGAAUUUAAGCCCCAGUAAACGGCGGCCGUAACGAUAACGGUCCUAAGGUAGCGAAAUUCCUUGUCGGGUAAGUUCCGACCCGCACGAAAGGCGUAAUGAUUUGAGCGCUGUCUCGACAAUGCAUCCGGUGAAAUUGAAGUACCAGUGAAGAUGCUGGUUACCUGCGCCAGGACGGAAAGACCCCAUGGAGCUUUACUCCAGUUUGGUACUGGGACUCGGUAUUGCAUGUACAGGAUAGGUGGGAGGCUAGGAGAUAGUAACGCCAGUUAUUAUGGAGCCGCUGUUGGGAUACCACCCUUGCAGUAUUGGGUUUCUAACCAGCCGCCGUGACCCGGCGGUGGGACAAUGCCAGACGGGGAGUUUGACUGGGGCGGUCGCCUCCGAAAGGGUAUCGGAGGCGCCCAAAGGUUCCCUCAGAAUGGACGGAAACCAUUCGAAGAGUGCAAAGGCAGAAGGGAGCUUGACUGCGACACCGACGGGUGGAGCAGGUACGAAAGUAGGGCUUAGUGAUCCGGUGGUAUUAAGUGGGAAUGCCAUCGCUCAACGGAUAAAAGCUACCCUGGGAUAACAGGCUUAUCACUCCCAAGAGUUCACAUCGACGGAGUGGUUUGGCACCUCGAUGUCGGCUCAUCGCAUCCUGGGGCUGUAGUAGGUCCCAAGGGUUGGGCUGUUCGCCCAUUAAAGCGGUACGCGAGCUGGGUUCAGAACGUCGUGAGACAGUUCGGUCCCUAUCCGGCGUGGGCGUAGGAUAUCUGAGAGGAGCUGUCCUUAGUACGAGAGGACGGGGAUGGACGGGCCGCUGGUGCAUCGGUUAGACUGCCAAGUCUACGGCCGAGUAGCCAAGCCCGGAAGGGAUAAACGCUGAAGGCAUCUAAGCGUGAAGCCCCCCUUAAGAUGAGAUAUCCCAUUCGAAAGAAGUAAACCCCCUUGAAGGCGACGAGGUAGAUAGGGCAGAGGUGGAAGUGCAGUAAUGCAUGGAGCUGACUGUUACUAAUCGGGUGAGGGCUUGUC